Long non-coding RNA from Pangasianodon hypophthalmus (striped catfish), 1312 nucleotides. RefSeq lists it as uncharacterized. The transcript has 2 exons. NCBI's taxonomy places the organism in Eukaryota, Metazoa, Chordata, Actinopteri, Siluriformes, Pangasiidae. The record is from RefSeq and is a predicted model, not a curated record.
UUCUUUAAACAACUGGCACUUGUAGAAAUGACACUUAAUUAAUAGGAUAUGUUUCUUAUAAGCACUACUCUGGACUAAACAUUUGCACACACACACUCUCUUCCUCCUUCCUCUUGUCUCUUCACAAAACUUCCUCCGAAAACCAACAGGUUUUGUGGGGUUUGUUUGGAUAAGAGCUCUCACUGCUCUGGACGGAGGAAGGCAGGAGCCAUGAGCUCGCAGGAAACAGACGCAGGCGCGCGCUUUGAACUCAGCCGGUAUUAUGCGGUCGGAUGCCACCCGGUUGCCCUGGUGACGGCGGUGAUUCGGUGAUUCUCUUUUUUGCCCUCUCUACAAUAAAGUUAGUCCAAACCCGUGGGCAGAGUUUUCCUUUAAACGGCUAUAACGCGCAGACUCUCAGACGCCACAUGCAAUGAAAAAAAAUCAUCAUUGUCAGUUUGUUAAAAAGAAACCAGAGUGUCUCAUUUUCUCACCUUUUAACGACCCUGCACAUUUUUCACAUUCUUCAGGACAGCACUAUUAGUCUCACUAAACAACUUAAAUAGUCUAACUGUCAUAGCCUGGAUGCAAAUAAAUAAUAAAACAAACAAACAAAUAAAUAAAUAAAAGCAAUAUAAACAUCAGUAGUAGCCUAAAUCUGACCAUGCAACAUUACAAUAUUAUAAGAGACUGAACAAAACGAAAUGAGAUUCAUUUAUAGAUUAAAAAAAUAAUCUGAGAUGUUUGUUAAUUUUAAUACACCUGUUUCAUUAAACUAAUUACCCAGAAUGCACCGCAUGCUUUUUAUUUUGUGCAGCAAAAAUUUGCAGACUCAAAUAUUCCCAUGAAAUAACUGUGUACAGAUCAAAUGCUUUACUCUUUAAUAAACAGCUAACUAGUGAAUAUUAUAUUUACAUCAGAAAGGAUGAUCAGAAAAUGAAGAAGGAAGAAAUGAGAAGGAAACUCAUACAGGGUGAAGGAGAAAAAUAACUGCAGCAUUCUCCUGUCACUGCAUGUGUUCUACAACGUCGUCGUCUCAUCUCUCACUCCACUUCCUCUUCCUCAACAGCUCAGCCUCACUGUGCUUGUUUUCAAAAUGGAAAUAUUCAUAUGUGAAAUAAAUGCAGUGAAAUAUUUUCAUUUAAAGCAAUACUUCAGCGGUUUUCAACUCAAUCGUUGUCUGCUGCACAAGUCGGUAAUUUGUCAUUACCACACACACGAAUUUCAACACGUUCCCUGCAGUGAGAAAACAACAGAAAACCUGUCUACUCAAAAUGCAGUUACAAUAGAAGUCUAAGGGCAGAUGUUGAAUUAUGUAAACUGUAUGUCUAUA